Non-coding RNA from Ictidomys tridecemlineatus (thirteen-lined ground squirrel), 71 nucleotides. The record is from Rfam. Lineage: Eukaryota; Metazoa; Chordata; Mammalia; Rodentia; Sciuridae.
GUGGUUGUGGCUCAGUGGUAGAGCGCUCAUCUAGCACAUGUGUGGCCUUGAGUUUGAUCCUCAGUAUCACA